This 429-nucleotide long non-coding RNA is filed under the name Brassica napus (rape). RNAcentral describes it as "long non-coding RNA (BNAP_LNC010132)". The record is from RNAcentral. Lineage: Eukaryota; Viridiplantae; Streptophyta; Magnoliopsida; Brassicales; Brassicaceae.
AAACUGGACGGAGCGGUUGUUCUGUGACGCUUCCCAGACUGACGAGUAGACAUGCUCGACUGGAAGGAUGUCAUCAAGUGUUGUAUCUCCAUCUAUCUUCAUUCUGGAGAGAUGAUCUGCAACGCCAUUCUCAAUGCCCUUUUUGUCCUUGAUUUCUAAAUCAAAUUCCUGUAGUAAUUAGAUCCAUUGGAGUAGCCUUGGUUUCGCCUCCUUCUUCGUCAGCAAAUACCUCAAAUCCUCAAUCCCGAAAUAUUUGGAAAUUUCCUUUUUUAUCUCUGUCGCUGGAGCAGACUCUUACGCUGCUCCGGUUGACUGUUCUGCGCGAAAGACUUCAAUUUCAUACUUUUUCUCAUCUUUCCUCUAGCUGGUCCAUUUCUCAUCCAAUGCAACUCUAGACCUAUUAUGACUCGAAAAGAACUAAAAACACUC